UCCUCGUUAGUAUAGUGGACAGUAUCUCUGCUGCUGUCACGCAGAAGACCGGGGUUCGAUUCCCUGACGGGGAG
RNAcentral lists this transfer RNA (74 nucleotides) under Perca flavescens (yellow perch). It matches the Rfam family "tRNA". Rfam says of the family: Transfer RNA (tRNA) molecules are approximately 80 nucleotides in length. Their secondary structure includes four short double-helical elements and three loops (D, anti-codon, and T loops). Lineage: Eukaryota; Metazoa; Chordata; Actinopteri; Perciformes; Percidae. The record is from Rfam by way of RNAcentral.